Oxyura jamaicensis (ruddy duck) is the source of this 640-nucleotide long non-coding RNA. RefSeq lists it as uncharacterized. The transcript is spliced from 3 exons. Lineage: Eukaryota; Metazoa; Chordata; Aves; Anseriformes; Anatidae. The record is from RefSeq and is a predicted model, not a curated record.
UGGUAAGAAGACAUUCAGUUUUCACCAGAAAUUAUACUUUGUAAGAGUUUUUUACAAAGGUGUGAACUAAAACAACAGAGGAUAGUACUACGAUUCAGAUUCCACUUCAGUUCAGAUAUUGUUUUGACAUUGGGGCGGUGCUGGGGUGGGGGUGGGGGGUAGGGGGGCAGAUAAAUUGUGAAGAAAACUGUUUCUGUAGUUAUUAUUUGAAUAGUUAAAAUGUGCCGUAAUAAUUCCUUUAAAAUUUCCCUAAAUCCCUAGCUGUUCCUGCAUGGUUAUGAAGUGAAAUUCUGAUAUUAGCUGAUGCAAGAAAGUCUCCGACUCAUGGAAAAUUUUACUUAAUGCCUUAUACAUAUUGCCUUAUGUAGGGCCUUUUAUGGAGAGAAAGAAUUCCUCUACAUGGAUGGCUGAAUCUGAGACACAAGUGAGACAAAAGAGUUAAAUAUGCAUUUAAUGAACUGAUUUUUUACUCAACUUUUAAGCUGAAAUUAUAUCCCACUGCCACCAACACAACUUAAAGAACAUGUAGAAUCCGUAGUAAUAAACACAAGCAUCAUAAACCGACCACAAAAGACCAGUCUUCAUGCCAUGGAUAGGUUAUGAAACACUCUGCAUGCAGUCUAAAGCAGGGGAGUUGAAA